RNAcentral lists this ribosomal RNA (543 nucleotides) under uncultured bacterium. Its description in RNAcentral is "partial 16S ribosomal RNA". The record is from RNAcentral.
GGAGUUAGCCGGUGCUUCUUCUGUGAGUGAUGUCCUUCCUGCCGGCUAUUAACCCGCAGGCCUUCUUCCUCACUGAAAGUGCUUUACAACCCGAAGGCCUUCUUCACACACGCGGCAUGGCUGGAUCAGGGUUGCCCCCAUUGUCCAAUAUUCCCCACUGCUGCCUCCCGUAGGAGUCUGGGCCGUGUCUCAGUCCCAGUGUGGCUGAUCAUCCUCUCAGACCAGCUACGGAUCGUCGCCUUGGUGAGCCGUUACCUCACCAACCAGCUAAUCCGACAUAGGCUCAUCCGAUAGCGCGAGGCCCGAAGGUCCCCCGCUUUCCCCCGUAGGGCGUAUGCGGUAUUAGCCUGGGUUUCCCCAGGUUAUCCCCCACUACCGGGCAGAUUCCUAUGCAUUACUCACCCGUCCGCCGCUCGCCACCAGGGAGCAAGCUCCCCGUGCUGCCGCUCGACUUGCAUGUGUUAGGCCUGCCGCCAGCGUUCAAUCUGAGCCAGAAUCGAAACCUCGACGUACUAGACGGCGGCGUCGGACGACGGCGACAGU